UUUUGUUAUUUAUUUAUCGAGGUAUUCAUUUAUAUUUUGUUAUUUUUAUAUGCAUAAUCACGACAAAAAGCCACGACUCCGCGUGCACUAUGUCACCUCCCUCUGUUAAGCCCCUAUUCCCUCACUCAUUCAUUCAAACUAGAUGACACCCCGCACGUUGUUGCGGGAACUGUUGUAGGAAAAAUGGGAUAUGUUAGACAAAUGAAAUAUAAAUAAUUUGGAUACGCUUUCAGCCAUAUCGUUUCUUGGCUAAAUUAAAACCAUUUCAUGAGAUUGAACAAUGCAGAACUGGCUAGAAAAAAUACAUAACAUUUCCUUUAAAAAAUAUUAACAUUAGUGGUUUCAGUUCCCACUAGCAAAAUAUCGUGGCCCUGACAAACAUUUGUGCAUCGAAUUGCCCACAAAGAAUAAAAAAAUAUAGCACAAAUCAAAUUGGCAUUGGAGAUUUGCUUCAGAUGUGGUAAUGAUUCUUCUUAUGUGCCCGCAUCAUAACUCACUACUUAUCGUCAUGGUGAAGAAAACAAACAAUCACCUCCAUUAAUAGGAACUGAGUGCUGGCACUUGAAAAGUGGGAAAAAUAAUAGUGUGUAAGAGUUGAUGACAGCGAGAACAUAAAUUGCCAAUUCAGUUUGUCCCAUAAUUUCUGCACAUAAAAAGCCGAACCACUCCUACAUUUAGUGAAGGCAACAUUAUACAACAAUUAGCAUGAAAAAAAAUCAUGAUGAAAUAAAAUGGUGAUGCAAUUUUGACUUUAUAAGGCAAGACCAUUCAAGGGAGAAAUCUUUUGAACAUAGCACGAUGAUGAUCUUUUGGUCAAUAACUGAACAUGACAAUUCAUAAGCAUAUUAUGCAUUCAAUAUUCUAUUCUAGAUAAUAUUUUAAGUCUGAAAUAUCCAUGGUUUGGGAAGUCAGGAUGACCUGUUCCAAAACAAAGGCAUGUACGUAAACCGAACAAAUAUGAAAAUGAAGAGAGAAUGGUGAAGUAUAUAUCUUACUGAUUCCGCAAAGGUGAACAUAAUUAGAUUAAAGGUGUUGAACUGAAGUAGUUAUAUAAGGGUCAAAGGAUAAAAAUCAAUAAGGAAAAUUAAAGGAGGGCAUGUGCUUAUGUAUAUAGAAUUGAAUGAAGAUUUGCUUCAGAGGUGGUAAUGAUUCUUCUUAGUUGCCCACCCCAUAGUACUAUUUUAAGGCCAUGCAAGACUAAUGAGAGUUGAAUGAAAGAAAUAGGCUGACCGUCCUUCGACUAUUUUUGUAUCAUCUUCCUUCAACUGCUCAGACCAAUACUUGUCAGCACUUUUGGGUGUGCAUAUAUGCGGAAGUAACUCACAACAUUAAAACAUGAGAAUGACUGGAAGCGAACUAAUCCAGACAAAAGCUUUCUGUACCCCGUAAUUCAGACCAAAGUAACCUGCGAAUAUCAAGAUAUUUUGAUUAUUCUGAAAUAUGUUCAGAACACAUCAGUAAUUAAAAAUAGAAGAUGUAUUGCACAUCAAAGAAGAUUAUGGAUAUCAUACCAUCAAAAGAGAUUUAUGCAUUUUGUAAGACAAUUUCUUCAGAGGUCUCCUUUAGCAAGGGACGAGAUAGAGUCUGUGCAGAUUAUGUAACCGUACCAACAAAAUGGCUCAGCAAGAGUCACCUUUAGUGGAUGGUCACAAAGAAAUUCAGUAACAUUAGUGAUUCAACCUGCUAAAGAAAAUAAGGUCAAUAACAAAUAUGCAUCUUGAAAGUAGUAUUUGGUAUCUCGGGUGUACCUAUAUAUGUUCUUUAGUCUUGACUGCUAGCGUCUCCUCUCAUCUCAGCAGAUCAUAAUGCAGUUGUCUCGAAAAACUAUUUGAAGCAGCAGCUCUCCUCCUCCUGACCGUCUCUACACUUCCGUUGGCUGCUGCUACUACUUUUCAUGAAGUUAACACAAUGUUUAAUAAAUAAAUAGAAAUUUCAUGAAUUUACAAAAACCAGCGGACUAAGGAUUGCUAUGCCGGGAAAAAUUAACAAAACCUAUUUUUUCUUUUGAUUUUGCAGUGUUUUUGCUGUUUUAUUUGAUCUUUUUAUUUAUUUUUACUUGGUUAUUUUUCUUUUUCUCCUAUUGUAUUUAUUUAAUAUAUAAAAUAAUGAGUGAAUUCCGGUUUUUACCCCCUAUUUUGCCAUUUUUGACACUAAUUACCCCGUUUAGUGGGAUUUUAUCCAUUUUACCCCAUUUAGCAAAAGUGUUACCUCAAUUUACCCCGUGGUGAACAUAUGUGGACCAGCGAAGAAUAAGUAUAUGUUUCCUGAGCUACUCUAGUGCAAUCAUAUCGAGCCUAGCUUAUCAGAAGAAGCUAGGGCGGUGCGGUUCGGCGUGCAGAAAAAGCAUCAAGAAAAAACCUGUCGGUGUGGCAUCUAGCUAGACCUUACAAUUGGGACCCAUCGGUCAGAACACUCAUAAAUUUUAAACAUGGUGAACUGUGGCAACACUUUUGCUAAAUAAUAUAAAAUGGAUGAAAUUCUGCUAAAUAGGGUAAUUGGUGUCAAAAAUGUCAAAAUAGAGGGUAAAAACCAGAAUUCACUCUAAAAAUAUUCUAAACUAUUCUGGUUCAAUUUUUUGAUUCAAUGAAACUGAUCCAUGUUGAUUAAACGAAACUGAUGCAUAUGCAAUGAUACACAUGGAUGCUGAUUAAACAAAACGGAUGCAUAUCAAUCUUCGUAUGGGUGCGCGGACCUUUUUCUUUUCGAUUGCCUAGCAACUUAAUAAUUGAUUGAUGCAUCUCAAUCUUGGUAUCACGGCGACCAAAACCGUGGAUUCCUUGCCCUUCACUCCAUCAGAUCGCCACCGGCCAACAUUCCUCGCUCAUGUCUAGUCUUCUUUCCUCUGCCUCCGCCUCCACGGACUCCUCCUUAGAUAUAAUUAAACCAAACUGCCCGCCCCAUGGUGGCCCCCAUCCUUGUCGGCAUGAAAUCCAAUGCUACGUGCUGAGCAAGUAGUCAUCCCUCCCUGGUGGCGAGCUCGGCGCCAUGUGUGGAUGACGCCGUAGGUAUGCGCAUACCAGGAGCACAAGACCAUGUCAAGGAGUGGAGAGGGGUUCUAUAUGGAAUGUUGUGUUGGCCAGAGACCAACAAACACAUGUCACAUGAUCACAUAACCCCUACCCACCCUAAAUCAUUGGUUCAGUGGCCAGAACGCCAACUGACCAUAGCUCAAUGUCUGGACCAUGUCAAGGCACAUGGAGAGAGAAGGGAGACUAGGGACUCACCAGAACUGACUCGCUAUCUGGAUCAGCUUGAAAGUUGACUACACGAGGAUUGUAUCAGCUUCCCUCCUUGAUACUCUGACUUCCAGGGUUGUUUUUCCCCUUUAGCUCUCGUCAUAAUCAAAGAAACAACGAUGUUAGAUCUCUCUCAAAUGAACAUAACAAAAGACAGAAAAAUAUAGUUUGUGUUCAGCGGAGAUAAAGAUUAUCCACCACUCAUAUAGCUGGUGAGGAUAUAAUAGCAGCGAGCUACUCCACAACAGCUUAAGCAAUCGUAAUAUUAACCAAACCACAAACAAAACCUAUGUUCUGGAACACAUUCAUCAUCACCUAAGAAAUAACAAAUUGCACAACACCUACACUACUCAUGCGUGGGUAAAGUAUCAAAUAUCUUCAUCUAGUCUAAGUAGAUAGUACCAAGGGUUAUUUAGCAAGCCUAUGUAAAGAGUUGCAAUUCCCAAAUUCCGGCAUCAAGAGAUAUGCCCAUAACAAUCACAUCCAUUUGUUAAACAUAUAUAAUAUCAUGACUAAAGGCUCUAAUUAUUAAUAGGAGCAUUAAUAUUGACCCUAGGUAAAUGUGGAGCGAUACAAAAGCAGCUACAUAUCAUCCAAUGGCCUAGAAUUGUCAACAUCGAACGAAAACAUGCCAUCCUAUUCAAACUGGCUAAUUACAAGUAGGGAAAAUCAUAUCUAGCAGACUAUCAUCACCAAAAUCAUAAGCAGGACAGUGCACCAUGACAAUAUCAUAAUCAUGACUUUCAAAAGGUUAGGAUAACUAAACAACAUGCAUCUUGACUAAUAUGUUUUUUCAUAGAAGUUACAGCCUUACCAAGCCACUCAGCCGAUUUGAAACAACACGACAUUGGUGGCCCAUGGAGGUCCCUGCUGGCAGUCGCCGCGGGGUGAUGGGAAUUCAGAUCGGCUCCGACGUGAUCUGCAUGUCGGAACCAAACUUCAUCGUCGAUGUCGGCAUCUGUGUUGCUGGCUCAACUGGUCACCUUUCCCAGACCAAAGACUACGCUUCGCGUCAAAUCGUCAUGAUCAGGCGGGUGCCUUCAUCAUCAACUCCGAUCCUAGCCGAAGUCAUAGAGGAAUUCGUCCAUGGAGCUUGGGGGCUCAACGUCAACAUUGCCCUCAUGUGAUCAUGCCGUUUUUGUUGAACAAUGGAUUGUGUUCACCUUCUCCGCCUCCUCGAGUGUCGCUUUGAUGAUUGCUUCGGUGAAAUUGUGUGGAAUUGAGUCUACAACAACCUUGUAAAAUUUCCUCGCGUUCCUAUGGAGGAAUCUCCGGCAAUCUCCGACAUACCGGAGCCCUAUCGAAUCUGGACGGGAAUCUGGAUGACUUUGUGGCGAGGAGUCUAGCGUCCAUCCCGGACAUCCAUUGGAAAAUCCAACUGUUCAUCGGUUGCGCAAUUCCUAUGUUGACCACCACUCAAAUUUCAGCUUGGUCUGACCGUUCAAACUCUAGGGAACGUCCGAGUAGUAAAUCAAUUCUCUGAUAUGUUUUCUGCGCGCAAACAAAUCUGACCCGAGUUCAUCUUUUCAUGAACGGGUUAUCGGACAUCCUUUUUGAAUGAAAUUGCUACUGCUAGUAGACGCAUGCCUACGGCCUCGUCCACACACGGCGCAGAGCUCGCUAGCACAGAGGGACGGCGGCCUGCUCACCGCGUAGCAUUGGAUUUGAUGCCGCCAAGGAUGGGGGCCUUCAAGCUGUGGGCAGUUUGGUUUAAUUAGGCGAAGGCAGAGCAGAGGAAAGAAGACUAGACAAAAGUGAGGGAGGUCGGGAGGUGGUGUUUUGAGGGAGUGAAGGGCGAGGCGUCCAUGGCUUGGUCGCCGUGAUACCAAGAUUGAGAUGCUUCAAUCAAUUAUUAAGCUAGCAAGCAAACGGAAAGAAAAAGGUAUGCAUCAGUUUCGUUUUUAUUAGUUUUGCCUUUUCUUUAUUUCCCUCUUUUCCUUUUUUUUCCUUUCCUGUCUUAGUUCUUUCAUAAUUUUUUUGUUUUGACUUAUUAUCCUUUUUCAUUUAGAAAAUGAACAACAUGACUUUUUUAUCAUAUGAUUUACAUAUUUUAAUCACCUGAUGAAUUUUUUUAACACAUGAUGAAUGUUUUUUGAUAUACAAUGGCUAUUUUCUUAAAUACAGAUAAUUUUUUAAGUGUAUAUUCUGUUUUAUAUGAUUUCUUUUCAAAAUUAUGUGAAUUGUUUUAUAAGCAUGGCUACUUUAACAAUCACAUGUACAUUUUCUAAAAUACAUAAACACUCUUUGUAAAUUCAAGAUUUUUUUCUAAAGAUUUAUUUAGAAACUAAAUGAAUUUUUUUCUAAAUAGGUGAAUUGGUUUCAUAGUAUAAGAAAAAUUUAUUUAGAAUAGUUUUUUCGUGAGUAAGCAUUUUUUUUGUUUACACAAACUAUUUUGUCAAAUGUGCAGAAAGAAAAUUUGAACAAGAAUACUUUAGAAAUACUAUAUAUGUAAGAGGAGAAAAAGUAAAACAACCAAGUGGAAAUAUAUAAAAAGAACAAAAAAGGGCAAAAGCACUGGAAAAUCACAAAUAUAGGAGUCUAGCUGCAUGGGUUACUUGAUAUCAUGUUUAUUUAACAUUUUUUUACUCUACCUUGUAGCUUGCAUCAAAACACACUAAUGUCCUUAUCCAUUUUUUAUUUCGUCAAGUAUUCAUUUCACAUUUAAGAUGAGGGGGACUGAAUCAGUAGCCAUUGCUAGCUAAAUAAUAGGCGGCAGAACCGUGUUAUUAGGCCAACCUUCUUGAGAGACUCUUUUAUCAGACGUUGCUGUCGGGCGCCAAAUGAUAUAUAUCGCUUGUACCGGGCAUUACCUAGAGCUUGCCUGCAGAACCGUCUUGAUUUAUUUUAUUAUUUUUGGCUUUUUGUUUAUUCCCCUUUUGCUGUUCUUCUUUUUCUAUUUUUUCUGUUUCUUUAUUUUUCUGUUGAUUUUCUUUUUUUACUUUUUUUACUUUUUCAUUUAGAGAAUUAAUAUUAGACAUGACUUUUUAAUCACACGGUUAUGGUCACGUAGCACGGUUUUAUAAUAACGGAUUCCUAAAUGUGAGCCAAUAAUAGUAACGAUACAAUUUGUAUAUAGAAAGUAAACCCUGGCCACUCCAUGGCAUAUUCAUCAUGGAACCUACAAAGGACGCAUAUAAACUCCAUUUUUUUCCCUUUUUGCUUUCGUGUAGGAGGCGCAUGACUCCAUGGAUGACCAGCCAUCAUUUUUUCUGUGACGUUGACCGUCACUAACAAUUACGAUGAUGCAUUUGACCGGUCAACUAUUCUGGCAUGAAGACCCAAUGAGAUGCUGACAUGGCUGCUACCAAGUGGGUCCAGACGUGGGUAAUUUGGCUUCUUACAUGUGGAUCCAAUGCCAUACGCGGGCGACGGCAUGCAUACCUAUCCCAAUUUGUAGAUGCGGUCAAUUUAUUAUAUAUUGCAAUUGGCGGGCAUAUUUGAAAAUUUAAUCAUUUUUAUAAUUCGUAUAUGAAUUUGUGCGAGAUUUCAAUUUUAAUGCCAAGUCAGCAAUCUUUACUCGAUUAAAUGACAGACAAUUAUCACACAGACUUUCUGAACCAUUACAAUAAAAAACCAUGGGACAGAGCCACACAAUAAAAUUAGGCACAUGGCGCAUUUUCAUGACCAUCAAACAAUGCACUAGUAUGAUGGGGUUUGUUUGCUCAGCUAUAGACAUGGGAUCCUGGCGUCGCAAUCGUGGCGAUGUACUUAAGCGUCCUAUCAAGAUCAUUAAGCUUCUUUCGAUAGCUAAAGUUUUCUCUUUCUUAGCAUUCUUGAUGACUUCAAGUUCUCCCUUCUGGUUGCGCCAACCUCGGUUUGUGUCAGCGGUGGCCGCCCGGUGGCGCGAGGCGCGUGAUGCCCCCCAUCGCGCCCUUUCGGCCCUUGACUCCUGACACUUUUGUGCUAAGCGGUCCCGGCAAUUCAUGAAAGGAUGGGGUGCAAAUGUGGGCCGUGACAUUCGCGAGCGUAAGAAAGCCCUUCUUGAGGCCAUCCAGGCCCUCGAUCUGCGGGCUGAUGCCGCAGGCCUCUCUGCUGAGGAGUGGAUGCUUAGGUACGACCUGGAAGACUAGCUCACGGUCAUCUACACGGACGAGGAGGCCUACUGGCGCUUGCGAGGUACGCAGAAUUGGGUCCUCAAGGGGGAUGCCAAUACCGCCUACUUCCAGGCCAUUGCCAACGGUCGUCGUCGCCGUAAUUCCAUCCCGCUUCUCUGGGACGGCGAGACCCUCCUGCAGCGGCCAGAGGACAUCCGGGCCCAUGUAGUCGGCUUUGACAGAGACCUAUUCUCUGCCGCCCCUCGGGGAGGUCUUGCCCUGGCGCAAGACAUCUGGCCGGCCCACAGUUGUGUCUCUCCUGCGGACAAAGCGGCCCUUACGGCCCCGUUCUCUAAGGCUGAAGUGUGGGCGACAAUUAAGGGUAUGAACCCUUCUUCGGCCCCCGGUCCGGAUGGCCUCCCAGUGAAGUUCUUCCAGACUUUCUGGGAGGUAAUAAAACCGGAGGUGAUGGCCUUGUCUGAGGAAUUCUUUGUAGGGUCCAUUGACCUCGCCAGGCUGGACUUUGGGAUCAUCACCCUCAUCCCCAAAGUAACUGGGGCUUCGGAUAUUCGCCAGUUUCGGCCGAUUACGGUGAUUAAUGUCAUCUUCCGCAUCCUCGCGAAGGGGUACGCCCUUAGGGUGGCCCCCAUUGCCGACGGGAUCACUCACCCUGAUCAGUCGGCAUUUAUUCAGGGCCGGUAUAUCCUUGACGGAGUUCUGGUUUUUCACGAAGCACUCCAUGAGGUUCACUCCAAACACCUCAAGGCAGUCUUCCUGAAACUGGAUUUCCACAAGGCGUAUGACACGGUCAGUUGGCCCUUCCUUCGGGAAUGCUUGCUGCGGAAGGGCUUCAACGACAGGUGGGUCUCCCGAGUGAUGCAAUGGUAUCCUCAGGCCGGACCGCGGUGAACAUUAAUGGCGAGGUUGGCCCAUUCUUCCCCACAUCCUGUGGGAUGUGCCAGGGCGACCCCUUCUCACCGUUCCUCUUCAACAUGGUUGUCGAUGCUCUGGCAGCCAUCUUAGAUAAAGCCAAGGCUGCGGGCCACAUUAAGGGCAUAGUCCCGCAUCUAGUUGGGGGGGAACGGGAUCUCCCUCCUCCAAUAUGCGGAUGACACCAUUAUCAUGGUGGAAGGCUCGGCGACCGACAUCAUGAACUUGAAGUUCCUCCUGAUAAGCUUCCAGCAGAUGUCUGGCCUCAGGAUCAACUUCGAUAAGAGUGUGGUAAUGGUCUUGGGAUACUCCCAAGACGAACGGCAGAGCAUCACGGAUCGGCUCAAUUGCCAGCUUGGGUGUUUCCCCACGACCUAUCUGGGGAUCCCCAUUAGUGAUUUGAGGUUCACGGUGGCUGAGCUUCGCCCCAUAGUUGGGAAGCUUCAACACCGCAUCGAGGCUUGGCAGGGCCGAUGUCUCUCGAAGGCGGCCCCGACAGUGCUUAUUAACUCGUCCCUGGCCAUCCUUCUCUUAUUCAUCAUGAGCUUCUACAGCCUUCCUGAGACUCUGAUCACGAGAUUGCCAUAGUUCAGGGGUGCUUCUUCUGGGCCGGCGAGGGCGACAAGUAGAAAUACAACAUGGUUCGUUGGUCGGAGAUUUGUAAACCGCGCUAUCAGGGUGGUCUCGGGAUCAUGUCCUCCAAAUGCAUGAACAUUGCCCUCCUAACGAGAUGGUUGUGGCGGAUUGCCAACGGACAGGGUGGCCUGUGGCUUCACCUCAUUCAGCAGAAAUACCUCCGUGGCCAGCCUCUCACCUUCUGCCAGUGGUCUGGAGGUUCCUAGUUCUGGCAAUCCAUCAUACAGCUCCUACCGAUCCUCCGCAUCGGCACCUUGAUCGCGGUUGGAUCGGGCACCUCCACGAUGUUCUGGUUCCAUAGAUGGGCUGGAGACUUACCCCUCGCGGCACGUUUUCCCUACCUAUUCUCCAUCGCGGUUGACCCGCGGAUCUCUGUCGCGACGACCCUUAUUGACUUAGGGCAACUCGCGUUCCGGAGAGCGUUUGGCCUGCCUGAGAACGCGGACUGGCAUGAUCUGCUGGAAUGCAUCGCGCUGCACGAGCCUGAUCUUGAGGUAGGAGAAGACCGUGCCAGGUGGCGUCUAGAGCCAUCUGAGCAAUUCUCCACCAAAUCUCUAUACCAGGCCAUCACACCUUCGCUGGGUCAUGAGGUACACACCACCAUCUGGGAUAUACGGCUCCCCUUGAAGAUUAGGAUUUUCUUGUGACAGUGGAUUCGCGGCUGCCUCCCAUCCGGCGUGGAGGUCCUGAUGCGCAACGUCCCAGGGGAUGGGCGAUGCCCGCUCUGCGGGCCUGAAGAGGAUUUGAACCAUAUCUUCUUCACAUGCGUGUCCGCGCAGUUCCUAUGGAGCUGUUUCCGUGAAAUAGUGGGUGGAAGCAGGGACCACAACAACUUCCCCGCUCUUUUCGCGGAACUCCAGGCGUCAGCUCCCUCAAUUCGCCACAUUAGGUGGCUGAUCAUCGGGGUGCUAACCUGGACGAUGUGGACUGUUAGGAAUAAACUUUUGAUUCAGCGCAUUCCUUUUCGACGUGCUACUGACGCUUUGUUCAAAUGGUCUGGUUAGUUGCAGUUUUGGCAGCCGCUUAGCCGUCCCCGGGAGAUAGACGCCAUCACCUCCAUCAUCAUCCAGCUUCGCUCGAUGGCUCUCCUUAUGGCUCCACCGCUUCCCCCACCAGCGCCAGAGCCGGAUUAGAUCUUCUACACCUCGCCACCGCCGUUAUGUUUGUUGUGUGUGUCUUGCGCCGAUGUUGGGCUUGUUGUGCUGUGCCCACAGCUGAACUUGGGUUUCAACUGUGUGUGUGUGUUCGUCGGAACUGCCUGCGGUGGCUGUGUGUGUGUUUUUGUGGUCGGAACCUUGUUAACUUUGUGCUCGGUGGUUGCUUUUUUUAUAAAGAGGGGAGAAAGCCUUUUUCGGUAAGGGAAGUGUUGAUAGAGUCAAGAUGAUUAUGCAGAUCUAACAGGGCCAUUAUUAGGCAUUCCAUUUGGUCUUGCCGCUCUGGCAGAGCCUUCUUGACACCUUCAAGUAUGUUUUUGCUAGUGUAAAAGUGUACGUAAUCUUCACAUAUUGAAGUUCAUGCUACGCACCUGGCACGACAUGCUUCAUGUUCUUGCUGCUGCUCUUCUAGGUCCAUCUUGACAGCUUCAAGUGCUAGUUGUUGCUCUGCUAGGGCCUUCUUAACGGCUCCAAGUUCUAUUUUCUGCUCACCUAGGGCCUUCUUCAUAGCAUGAAGUUCCUACUGCUGUACAACCAAUGUGUGCUCGACUGCUUCUUUUGCUUCAUGGUGCACCACCACCACAUUGUUGAUAGCUUCAGGUUACUGUUUCUGGACCCCAAUACUUGCAAGAAAGUCAUCAUUUGAGAAUCCUUGCUUUCCUACAAAAUAAUAUAUACGGAGGUUACAACAUAUGGAUGAAUUCCAAAAUAUAUAUGCACAUGCCGCAAUACACAGAGGUAGGGUAAAUAAAGAUAAUUACAUGUAAAUUUUAUAAAACAUGUGAACAUUCUUAGGAAAAAAGAAAAUCAUUUUCUAAAUACAUGAGUAUCUAUUAUAAAUUAUAUGGAUAUUUGUCUAGAUAGUUCAUGAAUCAUUUUUGAAAGUACAAUAAUUUUUUAUUUAGGAUAGUCAAACACUUUCUAAAUUCAAUUAAAUAUUUUUAAAUGAGUGGGCACUUAUUUUUUUACCGGAACUAUUUUUUCAACAACAACAACAAAGCCUUUUGUCCCAAACAAGUUGGGGUAGGCUAGAGGUGAAACCCAUAAGAUUUCGCAACCAACUCAUGGCUCUGGCACAUGGAUAGCAAGUUUCCACGCACCCCUGUCCAUAGCUAGCUCUUUGGUGAUACUCCAAUCCUUCAGGUCUCUCUUAACAGACUCCUCCCAUGUCAAAUUUGGUCUACCCCGCCCUCUGUUAACAUUCUCCGCAUGCUUUGGCCGUCCGCUAUUCACGGGAGCUUCUGGAGGCCUGCGCUGAAUAUGCCCAAACCAUCUCAGACGAUGUUGGACAAGCUUCUCUUCAAUUGGUGCUACCCCAACUCUAUCUCGUAUAUCAUCAUUCCGGACUCUCGAUCCUUCCUCGUGUGGCCACACAUCCAUCACAACAUACGCAUCUCCGCCACACCUAACUGUUGAACAUGUCGCCUUUUAGUCGGCCAACACUCAGCGCCAUACAACAUUCCGGGUCAAACCGCUGUCCUGCAGAACUUGCCUUUUAGCUUUUGUGGUACUCUCUUGUCACAGAGAAUGCCAGAAGCUUGGCGCCACUUCAUCCAUCCGGCUUUGAUUCGAUGGUUCACACCUUCAUCAAUACCCCCAUCCUCCUACAACAUGGACCCCAAAUACCGAAAGGUGUCCUUCUGGGGUACCACCUGGCCAUCAAGGCUAACCUCCUCCUUCUCACACCUAGUAGUACUGAAAUCGCACAUCAUAUACUCGGUUUUAGUUCUACUAAGCCUAAACCCUUUCAAUUCCAAGGUUUGUCUCCAUAACUCUAACUCCUAUUUACCCCCGUCCGACUAUCGUCAACUAGCACCACAUCAUCCACAAAGAGCAUACACCACGGGAUAUCUCCUUGCAUAUCCCUUGUGACCUCAUCCAUCACCAAUGAAAAAAGAUAAGGGCUCAAAGCUGACCCCUAAUGCAGUCCUAUCUUAAUCGGGAAGUCAUCAGUGUCGACAUCACUUGUUCGAACACUUGUCACAACAUUAUCAUACAUGUCCUUGAUGAGGGUAAUGUACUUUGCUGGGACUUUGUAUUUCUCCAAGGCCCACCACAUGACAUUCCGCGGUAUCUUAUCAUAGGCCUUCUCCAAGUCAAUGAACACCAUAUGCAAGUCCUUCUUUUGCUCCAUAUAUCUCUCCAUAAGUUGUCGUACCAAGAAAAUGGCUUCCAUGGUCGACCUCUGAUACGUCCAUUUUGCAUGAUGCUUUUAUAUCGAUAUUUAUUGCAUUAUGGGUUGUUAUUACACAUUAUGUCACAAUACUUAUGCCUAUUCUCUCUCAUUUUACAAGGUUUACAUGAAGAGGGAGAAUGCCGGCAGCUGGAAUUCUGGGCUGGAAAAGGAGCAAAUAUUAGUGACCUAUUUUGCAUAGCUCCAAAAGUCCUGAAACUUCACGGAGGCACGUUUUGAAAUAUAUAAAAAAUACUGGAGAAAGAAUCAACCAGAGGGGGCCCACACCCUGGCCACGAGGGUGGGGGCGCGCCCCCUGCCUCGUGGGCCCCCUGGAUGCAGGUUUCGGAGUUCUUCAUCAAGCACUCGGCCCUCACGUGGUGAAAGGAUCCACUCUCCUAGACUAGUACAGUCGUGUCGUCGCACAAGCCGAGCAGCUCAUCUAACGUGCACCGGAAGGCGUCGUCUUCAUCAUCUGCAGCGCAAGUGCCUUCUUGGACUUCGCCGUCGAGUUUGCCGGGCAAGAACCCCUGCGCCACCACAGCGUCAUGGAGCACGGGAAAAUCUUGAAGCAUGUCGUCGGUGAAGAACCCGCAGCUCCGGGCUUCCGUCGUCCACAGCUCCGGGCGGCAAGAACGUCUUGCCUUCGUCGGACAUGAACCAGCGCCCAUACUCGUGAAACAUCCCGGCUUGUUGGACGAUCGGCGGUUCCUGGCGGCGUGGGGUUUGGGGACGUGGAGCAAUUAGCAAGACACCUUUUGUGCCAUGACAAUGACAUACAUCAAAGCUCAUCUAACGUGCACCGGAAGGCGUCGUCUUCAUCAUCUGCAGCGCUAGUGCCUUCUUGGACUUCGCCGUCGAGUUUGCCGGGCAAGAACCCCUGCGCCACCACAGCGUCAUGGAGCUCGGAAAAAUCUUGAAGCAUGUCGUCGGUGAAGAACCCGCCUGGAUCCACGCUGCCGUCGUCCACAGCUCCGGGCGGCAAGAACGUCUCGCCUUCGUCGGACAUGAACCAGCGCCCAUACUCGUGAAACAUCCCGGCUUGUUGGACGAUCGGCGGUUCCUGGCGGCGUGGGGUUUGGGGACGUGGAGCAUCCGGGUGCUGGACGUCGGCGGCCUUCCUUUUCCUGGAACCGGGAGCAUUGAUUACCUCGUGGUAUGUGGUCUCGCUCCUGUGACGAGACACGCAGACCUUGCAGAGCACCAAGCCGUCUUGCUUGUCAUCGCUGUACUCGUUCAUGCACCAGCCGAUCCUGAUCCUCUCUUUCUCUCCCGGCAACUUCUUGACGUAGCUGAGGUUUCGUCUAUGGCCUACGAGUUUACCUUGGUUGUCUAGCACGGGGAUCCCACCCUUCUCCGAGUGCCAGUAGUAACCCUCGCCGGCGUCGGCCACGCCACGCUGUCGCCUCCCGCCACCGCGGCCGGCUUUGGUCUGGUGAUGACGGGCAGGGGUGAAGAAGUACCAGACGCCCCCUUUCCCGUCGCCCUUGUCCGUUCCUUGCGCGUGUUGAUACAUCUCGACGAGGUCGCCGGGGGCGGCGGAGUAGGCGUCGAACUCGUGGAUGAGGCGGCUGGCGAAGAAGGCGUCGGCGAUCCGUGGGCGGAGGAACUUGGUGAUCAGCUCGUGCUCGGCUGGGUCGAAGGCGUAGCCGGCGGGAGGAUCCAGCUUGCCGUCGGCCAUCGCAGAGCUAGCUACGCACGUACGAGAUGGAUCAAGUAGCUAGGUAUGUACGUGUAACCCUGAACUCGCUAGCUGCUUGCCAUCUGGGUACCUAGCUUAUAUAGAUGGAUCGACAGCGAGCCCGCCCGGGAUUCAGUUUCCUUGACCGGUCAUACGUACGUGUCCUAAGCAAUCCGUACAUGAAAUGGAUUAGUACAGCAAUCCGUACAUAAAAUGGACUAGUGCAGCACGCCCCAUGAUGCUCCGUCGCUGCACCGACCUUGCUCCAUUGCAGCUCGCGUCGCUGCACCUUGCCGCUCGGUAAUACUCAGCAUGCUUCGACGGACAUGGUGAUGCUACGAGGCGUGCUACAUCGACCGCCGCGAUGGCGCAACGUCAUCCGGGCUGCUUUGAUGAAGCUGCGACAGCCGCGGCGUUGACAUUUCGACAUGCUUCAAACACCCAUGUUGUGCUUUGACGGCCACGACAAUGUUGGGGAACGUAGCAGAAAUUCAAAAUUUUCUACGCAUCACCAAGAUCAAUCUAUGAAGUAAUCUAGCAACGAGGGGAAGGGGAGUGCAUCUACAUACCAUUGUAGAUCGUGAUGUGGAAGCGUUGCAAGCACGCGGAUGAAGGAGUCGUACUCGUAGCGAUUCAGAUCGCGGUUGAUUCCGAUCUAAGCACCGAAGAACGGUGCCUCCGCGUUCAACACACGUGCAGCCCGGUGACGUCUCCCACGCCUUGAUCCAGCAAGGAGAGAGGGAGAGGUUGGGGAAGACUCCAUCCAGCAGCAGCACGACGGCGUGGUGGUGAUGGAGGAGUGUGGCAAUCCCGCAGGGCUUCGCCAAGCACCGCGGGAGAGGAGGGAGAGAGGUAGGGCUGCGCCAAGAGAGACCGGAAAACUCAUGUGUUGGGCAGCCCUAGACCUCAACUAUAUAUAGGGGGAGGAGGGGGCUGCGCCCCCUCUAGGGUUCCCACCCCAAGGGGUGGCGGCCAGCCCUAGAUCCCAUCUAGGGGGGCGGCCAAGGGGAGGAGAGGGGGGGGCGCCACUAGGCUGGGCCUUAAGGCCCAUCUGGACCUAGGGUUUGCCCCCUCCCACUCUCCCAUGCGCCUUGGGCCUUGGUGGGGGGCGCACCAGCCCACCUCGUGCUGGCCCCCUCCCACACUUGGCUCACGCAGCCUUCUGGGGCUGGUGGCCCCACUUGGUGGACCCCCGGGACCCUCCUGGUGGUCCCGCUACAUUACCGAUAUCACCUGAAACUUUUCCGGUGACCAAAACAGGACUUCCCAUAUAUAAAUCUUUACCUCCGGACCAUUCCGGAACUCUUCGCGACGUCCGGGAUCUCAUCCGGGACUCCGAACAACAUUCGGUAACCACGUACAUCUAUUCCCUAUAACCCUAGCUUCUUCGAACCUUAAGCGUGUAGACCCUACGGGUUCGGGAACCAUGCAGACAUGACCGAGAUGUUCUCCGGUCAAUAACCAACAGCGGGAUCUGGAUACCCAUGUUGGCUCCCACAUGUUCCACGAUGAUCUCAUCGGAUGAACCACGAUGUCGGGGAUUCAAUCAAUCCCCUAUUCAAUUCCCUUUGUCCAUCGGCAUGUUAUUUGCCCGAGAUUCGAUCGUCGGUAUCCCGAUACCUUGUUCAAUCUCGUUACCGGCAAGUCUCUUUACUCGUUCCGUAACUCACAUCAUCCCGUGAUCAACUCCUUGGUCACAUUGUGCACAUUAUGAUGAUGUCCUACCGAGGGGGCCCAGAGAUACCUCUCCGUUUACACGGAGUGACAAAUCCCAGUCUCCAUUCGUGCCAACCCAACAGACACUUUCGGAGAUACCUGUAGUGCACCUUUAUAGCCACCCAGUUACGUUGUGACGUUUGGUACACCCAAGGCAUUCCUACGGUAACCGGGAGUUGCACAAUCUCAUGGUCUAAGGAACUGAUACUUGACAUUAGAAAAAGCUCUGAGCAAACGAACUACACGAUCUUGUGCUAGGCUUAGGAUUGGGUCUCGUCCAUCACAUCAUUCUCCUAAUGAUGUGAUCCCGUUAUCAACGACAUCCAAUGUCCAUGGUCAGGAAACCGUAACCAUCUAUUGAUCAACGAGCUAGUCAACUAGAGGCUUACCAGGGACAUGGUGUUGUCUAUGUAUCCACACAUGUAUCUGAGUUUCCUAUCAAUACAAUUCUAGCAUGGAUAAUAAACGAUUAUCAUGAACUAGGAAAUAUAAUAAUAACCAAUUUAUUAUUGCCUCUAGGGCAUAUUUCUAACCGUCUCCCACUUGCACUAGAGUCAAUAAUCUAGUUCACAUCACCAUGUGAUUAACACUCACAGGUCACAUCUUCAUGUGACCAACAUCCAAAGAGUUCACUAGAGUCAACAAUCUAGUUCACAUCACUAUGUGAUUAAUACUCAAUGAGUUCUGGUUUGAUCAUGUUAUGCUUGUGAGAGAGGUUAUUAGUCAACGGCUCUGAACCUUUCAGAUCCGUGUGUGCUUUACGAAUAUCUAUGUCAUCUUGUGGAUGCUACCACGCGCUAUUCGGAGCCAUUUCAAAUAACUGCUCUACUAUACGAAUCCGGUUUACUACUCAGAGUCAUCCGGAUUAGUGUCAAAGUUCGCAUCGACGUAACCCUUUACGACGAACUCCUUUUCACCUCCAUAAUCGAGAAAAUUCCUUAGUCUACUAGAUACUAAGGAUAAGUUCGACCGCUGUCAUGUGAUCCAUUCCCGGAUCACUAUUGUACCCCUUGAACAACUCAUGGAAAGACACACUUCACGUGCGGUACACAACAUAGCAUACUGUAGAGCCUACGUCUGAAGCAUAGGGGACGACCUUCGUCCUUUCUCUCUCUUCUGCUGUGGUCAGGUCUUGAGUCUUACUCAAUACUCACACCUUGUAACACAGCCAAGAACUCCUUUGCUGAUCUAUUUUGAACUCUUUCAAAAUCAUGUCAAGAUGUGCGUUCUUUGAAAGUAUCAUCGGGCGUCUUGAUCUAUCUCUAUGGAUCUUGAUGCCCAAUAUGUAAGCAGCUUUAUCCAGGUCUUCCUUUAAAAAACUCCUUUCAAACAACCCUUUAUGCUUUCCAGAAAUUUUACAGCAUUUCGGAUCAACAAUAUGUCAUUCUCAUAUACUUAUCAGAAAUGUUGUAGCGCUCCCACUCACUUUAUUGGAAAUACAAGUUUCUCAUAAACUUUGUACAAACCCAAAGACUUUGAUCAUCUCAUCAAAGCGUACAUUCCAACUCCGAGAUGCUUACUCCAGUCCUUAGAAGGAUUGCUGGAGCUUUGCAUACUUGUUAGCAUCUUUCAGGAUUGACAAAACCCUUCUGGUUGUAUCACAUACAAUCUUUCCUCAAGAAAAUCUUCGAGGAAACAAUGUUUUGGCAUCCUAUCUGCAAGACUGCUAAUACAAUCCCAACAGACUUUUAGCAUCGCUACGAGUGAGAAAGUCUCAUCGCAGUCAACUCCUUGAAUUUGUCGGAAAACAUCUUAACGACAAGCCGAGCUUUCUUAAUGGUGACACUUACCAUUACUGUCUGUCUUCCUUUUAAAAUCCAUCUGCACCCAACAGCCUUACGACCAUCAAGCACAUGGAUCCUCUCUCGGAUUUUAUGGCCUCGAGCCAUUCGUCGGAAUAUGGGCCCACCAUCGCUUCUCCAUAGCUCGUAGGUUCAUUGUUGUCUAGCAACAUGACUUCCAAGACAGGAUCACGUACCACUCUGAAGUAGUACGCAUCCUCGUCGUCCUACGAGGUUUGGUAGUGACUUGAUCCGAAGUUUCAUGAUCACUAUCAUAAGCUUCCACUUCAAUUGGUGUAGGUGCCACAGGAACAACUUCUUGUGCCCUGCUACACACUAGUUGAAGUGACGGUUCAAUAACCUCAUCAAGUCUCCACCAUCCUCCCACUCAAUUCUUUCGAGAGAAACUUUUCCUCAAGAAAGGACCCGUUUCUAUAAGCAAUUACUUUUGCUUCCAGAUCUGAAAUAGGAGGUAUGCCCAACUGUUUGGGUAUUCUAUGAAGAUGCAUUUAUCCGCUUUGGGUUCGAGCUUAUCAGCCUGAAACUUUUUCACAUAAGCAUCGCAGCCCCAAACUUUUAAGAAACGACAACUUAGGUUUCUCUAAACGGUGUCGUCACAACGGAAUUGCGUGGUGCCCCUUUUAAAGUGAAUGCGGUUGUCUCUAAUGCCUAACCCAUGAACGAUAGUGGUAAUUCGAUAAGAGACAUCAUGAUAUGCACCAUAUCCAAUAGGGUGCAGUUAUGAUGUUCAGACACACCAUCACACUGUGGUUUUCCAGGCGGUAUUAAUUGUGAAACACUUUCCACAAUGUCUUAAUUGUGUGCCAAACUCGUAACUCAGAUAUUCAUCUCUAUGACCAUAUCAUAGACAUUUUAUCCUUCUUGUCACGACGAUCUUUAACUUCACUCUGAAUUUACUUGAACCUUUCAAUAAUUCAGACUUGUGUUUCAUCAAGUAAAUACACUCAGUAUCUACUCAAAUCAUCUGUGAAGUAAGAACAUAACGAUAUCCACUGCAUGCCUCAGCACUCAUUGGACUGCAUACAUCAAAAUGUAUUACUUCCAACAAGUUGCUCUCUUGUUCCAUCUUACUUAAAACGGGGACUUUCAGUCAUCUUGCCUAUGUGGUAUGAUUUGCAUGUCUCAAGUGAUUCAAAAUCAAGUGAGUCCAAACGAUCCAUCUGCAUGGAGUUUCUUCAUGCAUAUAUACAAAUAGGCAUGGUUCGCAUGUCUCAAUCUUUUCAAAAACGAGUGAGUCCAAAGAUCCAUCUUCAUGGAGCUUCUUCAUGCGUUUUAUACCAAUAUGACUCAAGUGGCAGUGCCACAAGUAUGUGGUACUAUCAUUACUAUCUUAUAUCUUUUGGCAUGAACAUGUGUAUCACUACGAUCGAGAUUCAUUUUAGGUGCAAGACCAUUGAAGGUAUUAUUCAAAUAAACAGAGUAACCAUUAUUCUCCUUAAAUGAAUAAUCGUAUUCCGAUAAACAUAAUCCAAUCAUGCUUAACGCAAACACCAAAUCACGAUGGUAGAGGGAGCAUGCGAUGCUUGAUCACAUCAACCUUGGAAACACUUCCAACACAUAUCGUCAUCUCACCUUUAGCUAGUCUCCGUUUAUUCCGCAGCUUUUAUUUCGAGUUACUAACACUUAGCAACCGAACCGGUAUCUAAUACCCUGGUGCUGCUAGGAGUACUAGUAAAGUACACAUUCAUAUAAUGUAUAUCCAAUAUACUUCUGUCGACCUUGCCUGCCUUCUCAUCUACCAAGUAUCUAGGGUAGUUCCGCUUCAGUGACCGUUCCCCUCAUUACACAAGCACUUAGUCUCGGGUUUGGGUUCAACCUUCGGAUUCUUCACUAGAGCAGCAAAUGACUUGUUGUUUCAUGAAGUAUCCCUUUUGCCCUUGCCCUUCUUAAACUAGUGGUUUUACUAACCAUCAACAAUUGAUGCUCCUUCUUGAUUUCUACUUUCGCGGUGUCAAACAUCGCGAAUAGCUCAAGGAUGAUCAUAACUAUCCCUGAUAUGUUAUAGUUCAUCACGAAGCUCUACUAGCUUGGCGGCAGUGACUAUGGAGAACCAUCACUAUCUCAUCUGGGAGAUUAACUCCCACUCGAUUCAAGCGAUUGUGGUACUCAGACAAUCUGAGCACAUGCUCAACGAUUGAGCUUUUCUCCCUUAGUUUGCAGGCUUAAGAAACUUGUCAGAGGUCUCAUAUCUCUUGACGUGGGCACUAGUCUGAAAUCCCAAUUUCAGUCUUCGGAACAUCUCAUAUGUUCUGCGACGUUUCAAAAACCAUCUUUGGUGCCACAAUUCUAAACCGUUAGCAAUACGCACUGAACUAUCACGUAGUCAUCAAAACGUGUAUGUCAGAUGUUUUCGCAACAUCUACAGACGACGCUGAGGUUCAGCACACCGAGCGGUGCAUUAAGGACAUAAGCCUUCUGUGCAGCAAUGAGGACAAUCCUCAGUUUACGGACCCAGUCCGCGUAUGCUACUACCAACUUUCAACUAAAUUUCCUCUAGGAACGUAUCUUAAACAGUAGAACUAAAGCGCAAGCUAUGACAUAAUUUGCAAAGACCUUUUGACUAUGUUCAUGAUAAUGAAGUUCAUCUGAUUAUUUAAUGAACUCCCACUCAGAUAGACAUCCCUCUAGUCAUCUAAGUGAUACAUGAUCCGAGUCAAACUAGGCCGUGUCCGAUCAUCACGUGAGACGGACUAGUCAUCAUCGGUGAACAUCUCCAUGUUGAUCGUAUCUACUAUACGAUUCAUGUUCGACCUUUCGGUCUCUUGUGUUCCGAGGCCAUGUCUAUACAUGCUAGGCUCGUCAAGUCAACCUAAGUGUUUCGCAUGUGUUCCGAGGCCAUGUCUGUACAUGCUAGGCUCGUCAACACCCGUUGUAUUCGAACGUUAGAAUCUAUCACACCCGAUCAUCACGUGGUGCUUCGAAACAACAAACCUUCGCAACGGUGCACAGUUAGGGGGAACACGUCUCUUGAAAUUUUAGUGAGGGAUCAUCUUACUUACUACCGUCGUUCUAAGCAAAUAAGAUGCAAAACAUGAUAAACAUCACAUGCAAAUCAUAAAGUGACGUGAUAUGGCCAAUAUCAUCUUGCGCCUUUGAUCUCCAUCUUUGAGGCGCGGCAUGAUCACCUUCAUCACCGGCAUGACACCAUGAUCUCCAUCAUCAUGAUCUCCAUCAUCGUGUCUUCAUGAAGUUGUCUCGCCAACUAUUACUUCUACUACUAUGGCUAACGGUUAGCAAUAAAGUAAAGUAAUUACAUGGCGUUUGUCAUUGACACGCAGGUCAUACAAUAAAUUAAGACAACUCCUAUGGCUCCUGCCGGUUGUCAUACUCAUCGACAUGCAAGUCGUGAUUCCUAUUACAAGAAUAUGAUCAAUCUCAUACAUCACAUAUAUCAUUCAUCACAUCUUCUGGCCAUAUCACAUCACAUAGCACAUGCUGCAAAAACAAGUUAGACGUCCUCUAAUUGUUGUUGCAAGUUUUUACGUGGCUUGUAUAGGUUUCUAGCAAGAACGUUUCUUACCUACGUAAGACCACAACGUGAUAUGCCAAUUUCUAUUUACCCUUCAUAAGGACCCUUUUCAUCGAAUCCGUUCCGACUAAAGUGGGAGAGACAGACACCCGCUAGCCACCUUAUGCAACUAGUGCAUGUCAGUCGGUGGAACCUGUCUCACGUAAGCGUACGUGUAAGGUCGAUCCGGGCCGCUUCAUCCCACAAUACCGCCGAAACAAGAUAAGACUAGUAGUGGCAAGAAGAAUUGGCAACAUUGACGCCCACAACUACUUUGUAUUCUACUCGUGCAUAGAAACUACGCAUAGACGUAGCUCAUGAUGCCACUGUUGGAGAACGUAGCAGAAAUUCAAAAUUUUCUACGCAUCACCAAGAUCAAUCUAUGGAGUAAUCUAGCAACGAGGGGAAGGGGAGUGCAUCUACAUACCAUUGUAGAUCGCGAUGCGGAAGCGUUGCAAGAACGCGGAUGAAGGGGUCGUACUCGUAGCGAUUCAGAUCGCGGUUGAUUCCGAUCUAAGCACCGAAGAACGGUGCCUCCGCGUUCAACACACGUGCAGCCCGGUGACGUCUCCCACGCCUUGAUCCAGCAAGGAGAGAGGGAGAGGUUGGGGAAGAAUCCAUCCAGCAGCAGCACGACGGCGUGGUGGUGAUGGAGGAGCGUGGCAAUCCCGCAGGGCUUCGCCAAGCACCGCGGGAGAGGAGGAGGGAGAGAGGUAGGGCUGCGCCAAGAGAGACCGGAAAACUCAUGUGUUGGGCAGCCCUAGACCUCAACUAUAUAUAGGGGGAGGAGGGGCCUGCGCCCCCUCUAGGGUUCCCACCCCAAGGGGUGGCGGCCAGCCCUUGAUCCCAUCUAGGGGGGCGGCCAAGGGGAGGAGAGGGGGGCGCCACUAGGGUGGGCCUUAAGGCCCAUCUGGACCUAGGGUUUGCCCCCUCCCACUCUCCCAUGCGCCUUGGGCCUUGGUGGGGGGGCGCACCAGCCCACCUGGGGCAGGCCCCCUCCCACACUUGGCUCACGCAGCCUUCUGGGGCUGGUGGCCCCACUUGGUGGACCCCCGGGACCCUCCCGGUGGUCCCGCUACAUUACCGAUAUCACCCGAAACUUUUCCGGUGACCAAAACAGGACUUCCCAUAUAUAAAUCUUUACCUCCGGACCAUUCCGGAACUCCUCGUGACGUCCGGGAUCUCAUCCGGGACUCCGAACAACAUUCGGUAACCACGUACAUCUAUUCCCUAUAACCCUAGCGUCAUCGAACCUUAAGCGUGUAGACCCUACGGGUUCGGGAACCAUGCAGACAUGACCGAGACGUUCUCCGGUCAAUAACCAACAGCGGGAUCUGGAUACCCAUGUUGGCUCCCACGUGUUCCACGAUGAUCUCAUCGGAUGAACCACGAUGUCGGGGAUUCAAUCAAUCCCGUAUUCAAUUCCCUUUGUCUAUCGGCAUGUUACUUGCCUGAGAUUUGAUCGUCGGUAUCCCGAUACCUUGUUCAAUCUCGUUACCGGCAAGUCUCUUUACUCGUUCCGAAACUCACAUCAUCUCGUGAUCAACUCCUUGGUCACAUUGUGCACAUUAUGAUGAUGUCCUACCGAGUGGGCCCAGAGAUACCUCUCCGUUUACACGGAGUGACAAAUCCCAGUUUCCAUUCGUGCCAACCCAACAGACACUUUCGGAGAUACCUGUAGUGCACCUUUAUAGCCACCCAGUUACGUUGUGACGUUUGGUACACCCAAGGCAUUCCUACGGUAUCCGGGAGUUGCACAAUCUCAUGGUCUAAGGAACUGAUACUUGACAUUAGAAAAAGCUCUGAGCAAACAAACUACACGAACUUGUGCUAGGCUUAGGAUUGGGUCUCGUCCAUCACAUCAUUCUCCUAAUGAUGUGAUCCCGUUAUCAACGACAUCCAAUGUCCAUGGUCAGGAAACCGUAACCAUCUAUUGAUCAACGAGCUAGUCAACUAGAGGCUUACCAGGGACAUGGUGUUGUCUAUGUAUCCACACAUGUAUCUGAGUUUCCUAUCAAUACAAUUCUAGCAUGGAUAAUAAACGAUUAUCAUGAACAAGGAAAUAUAAUAGUAACCAAUUUAUUAUUGCCUCUAGGGCAUAUUUCUAACAGACAAUGCUUCAACGGCAGACUUCGACGGUCGCGGUGAUGCUACGGGACGUGCUUCGACGACCAUGGCAAUGGUGCGGCAACAUGCUUCUAACGUCGGUGUUGUACUUGGAUGGCAGCGAUGAUGUUGUGACGACAUGGUUGGACAGCCACGACGUCCUGAUUCGACAACCAUGAUGAUGUUGCGGCAACGUGUUCCACGGCCACGAAACUGUUGCAAUGAUGGACAUGGCUGCACAACGAUAAUGCAACGACUGCAGCGGUGCGGCAAUGGUGACCCGGCUGCUUCGAUGAUGCUACGAUGGCAUGCGUCGAAGAAGGUGGUGGCGUCAAUGGUGCUACUCUAAACAUUAGCAACCUUCACUUUACCACAAUCAGCAUCGAGAAAGAUGGUGUUCUAGUAUUUGUACCAUCACAUGUGUAGUUACCUAGCAAAAUCACUGCAUAUGGAGUACGUUAAAAAAGAUCAUUUAAAUAGGCAGUCGUCCGGACGCUACCACAUGUCACGAACUUUGGAUACUUUUGCGUGUGGAAGACAGAGCAUUUGCUACCUUCCUGUGUGGGAGAUAGUGCUUGCGCCACACGAUCAUGUGGGAUCGGAGGGCUCCGGACGUGAUUGAUAAAGACAAGAAAUCAUCCGACUUAUUUAAAACAUUUUCCCUCGCUGAAUGCUCACCUUUUACUCGCAAUGGCCACUUGUCGGUUAGCCUGGUUGACGCAUUUCUGUUUGUUUGUGACUUUGCAGUGUUUUUGCUGCUUUAUUUGUUCUUUUAUAUAUUUUUACUGGCCUUUCUUAUUUUAUCAACUUAUGAUUAUUUUAUUAUAUUAUAAAAAAUAUGUCUGUUUUAUUCUAGGUAAUCCUUUUUAUUUGCACUAUUGACAGAAAUAGUUCGUAUUAAAAAGGUCCUUACUCAUUUCAAAAUAUAUAAUGCAUUUGAAAUUUGUUUAUACAUUCUAAAUAUAAUGUUCUUGUACUUUUGAAUAUGAUUUACCUAUUUGGAAAAAUAUUCAUUUAGUUCGUAAAAAAAUCUUUUAUUCAAAACGAAAUUACAUGUAUUCGCAAAGAGUGUUCACGUAUUUCUAAAAAUGUCCAUGUAAUUAUUAAAGUAUUCUCACAUUUAAAAAUAUAUUCACAUAUGUUUGGAAAAUAAUCCUUUACGACAUAAAAUAGAAAAUACACUGGAAAUUUUAUAUCGCGUAUUUAAAAAAAUACUCAUCAUAUAUUAAAUAAAUUUCAUUGUGUUAAAAAAUAUUCAUCAUUUAUUUAAAAUACAUACGUUGUGUUUUUAAAAGGUCAUGUGUAAUGUUAUUUGCUAAUUGCAUAAGUUAAAUAAGUAAGAAGAAAAUCACAGAAAAUAAAGAAAGAGAAAAAUGUGGGGAAAGAACAACAAAUAAUAGGGAAAUGAAAAAAAGAGGCAAAGAUAAUUAAAAGAAUUCAAGAAAAAAAUUGAUAAAAACACCCACAAGAAACUAGUUGAAAACAAGAAAAAAAGAUAAUAUCAUGAACAAAAAUCAGGCAGAAACACGAAGAAGAGAGCCAUGUGUUCAACGAACCUAAAAGUAAUCAGCACAUCGCAUGUGGUGUUCUGCAGGCGAGCUCUAACUAAGAGCAUCUCCACCCGCCCCCCAGGACGUCCCCCAGGACACCUUUUUAGGCUCGGUUUUACGCUCGGACCACCUUUUUGCCGAAAUACGGCCCAGCAAUGCCCCCAGCGCCCCCACAGGACAUCAAAAUAGCGCCGGCAAAUCCAGGAAAAACGCAGCACAUUGGGGGGCUUUUGGGGGCGUCGACAGAAGUUUCGGCGAAUCGUGUCUCACCACAUGUCUUUUUUCUUGGCCCACAUAAUCAUUUUCCUCACAAACAUUUGACUGGGGUGGGGUGUGGCUGAGAAGAUGCCCUCCUCAUGCACCCAUAUUUCGGCCGGAUGAAGCAUUUGGACCCCCAAGACACCUACUUUUUUGGUUCGGUGGUGUUUUUGGGUGCUCCAACGGCUGGAGAUGCUCUAAUACUUGGUACAAUCGAUAUAUAUAUUAUUUGCCGCCCGGAAGCACGUCUAGUAAAAGAGUUUCUCAAGAAGGUUGGGCGAAUGUGUCAUAGCCCACCCUGAGAUCUCCCAACCUUCUAUAUAUAUUAUAGAAAAAAGUAAAAAAAGACAUGUUUUUUUUGAAUAAAACCCCAUACAUUAAUUAAUUAAUAAUGUUAUUACAAUCAUUCAUUACAAAAUUCGCCACACAGGGCGGAACGCUAUUAAGAAGAAUCCCAUCAGAUUUACUUAUAAAGCUAAACUUCGCAAUUUCAUGAGCCACCUUAUUGGCGUUCCGAUUAAUUUUCGCAAUUUUAAAAUUCUUAAGCAUCUUCGAUAUACUCAAGGCUUCUUUCUUCAGAUCAACGAGCGAGGACCUGUCCAGAUUCUCAUUUGCAAGGAAAGAACGGACAAAAGCACAACCAGUCUCCAAAAUAAUGGACUGGUGAAGAGUAAUACCUAUAUAAUGGCCUGCCAGGCAAGCACGCAGCUCAGCUUCAUUCACACUGUAGCACUGACCCAGAAAGUCCCACGAAGAUAUAAUAACUUCGCCAGAUUUGUUCCUAACAACCACCCCCACACUGGCCGCAGUAAUACUCUCCACAUAGCUGGCAUCGACAGUGAUCUUGAUAUAAUCUUCUGGUGGAGGUUUCCAACCCACCUGUUGUUGUGAUGUUGCGAAAACUGGUGUUGCACCUCCCAUUUUUUCUUUACCUUUGUUACUAGGAACAACCUCGACAGUGUCAUGACAGGACGUAAAAGAAGACCAAUAGUUUACCACAAAAAUUGCAGAAGCAGCAAUGGAUUCCUGCCCUUUUCCAAAAAUUAAAUCAUUUCUCAUGUGCCAUGCUCGCCAGAAAAGAAACAAAACUUGCUCUCGCUGUUGCAGGCUCAAAUGAUCCAACAGAAUCAAUAGCCAAUCUGGCCCCGAGAAUUUGAACCACUCUUCAUCAGGAAUAUUCCAUGAUUCUCUCAAGGCAAGUCGCAGAGCACGAGCCUUAGAACAAGUAACGAGGGCAUGAAAAGUGCUUUCAUCUUCUACUCCACAAAUAGAGCACAUACCUGAAGUAAUCUGAUGGUGCUUAACUUUAUUGGUCUGGACUGCCAAGCUAUUGGUUGCGGCCCUCCAGGCAAAAAUCCUUAUCUUCUGAGGGAUAUUAGCCUUCCAAAUUAAAUUUGAGAGCCUUCUUUCUCCACAUGGAUCUCCACUAGAUUGACCCAAUUUAUCUUGACUAUCCUUCAACUUAAUUGCUAAAUUGUACGCACUUUUAACAGAAAAUAUACCGUUCUUCUCAUAGUGCCACACAAUAAAAUCCCCAUCCCCAUAAGCAUGAAUACUAAUCUUAAGAAUCUCCUCUGCGUCAUGGGGAUAGAAAAGCUACUUAAUCAAAUUUUCAUCCCAUACCUUUCUCCCGCUCAAGAACAAAUCAGAGACCCAUCUCAAUCUAGUAUUAUGCCUUUUAGCAGAAAUUUUAAGGCCAGUGCUCCUCGAUAACCAAUUAUCCCUCCAAAUAUUAAUACUAGAUCCAUCACCCACCCGCCAAAUGGCGUCAUUUUGAAGUAAUUCCAGACCAUGCAUAAUACCUUGCCAAGUGAGUGAUGCAGACUGAGGAAACACUGUAUCAAGAAUAUGUCCCUGAGGAUAAUACUUUGCCUUCAUAUGCUUAGCACACAAUGAAUCCAGAUAAACCAAUAACCUCCACGCUUGUUUGGCUAAGAGGGCUUGGUUAAAUAAUCUGAGCUCCUGAAAUCCCAUACCACCCUUACCUUUAGACCUUAUUAAUUUGUCCCAUGCUAACCAAUGUGUUUUUCUUCGAUCUUCCUCAUCUCCCCACCAAAAAUUCCUGAUAAUCUGGGUUAAGUCCUCACAAAGGGAAGUCGGGAACUUAAAAAUACCCAUAGCAUGCACAGGUAGAGCUUGAAUAACUGAUUUUAUUAAGUCUUCUUUCACCCCACAAGAGCGUAUUUCUCUAUCCAGUCAGAGAGCCUUUUCAAAACCUUCUCUUUAGUAGAUUGAAACUUACCAGCUUUCAUUCUUCCCUCAGGAACCGGAAGUCCAAGAUAUUUAUCUUCGAACCCAUCGACCGUAAUUUUUAAGAUUACCAUUAUAGCCACUUGAUUCUCCAAACUACACUUUUUCCCAAACAUCAUGGAACACUUAUCAGGACAGAAUAACUGCCCAGUCCCUUUCUCAUACUCCGUCAAAAUAUUUUUAAUGACAACUGCUUGAUCAAUGGAGCCUUUGAAAAUUAACAUACUGUCGUCCGCAAACAGCAAGUGAGAAAUACCUGGGGCUUGUCUAUUCAAAUGGAACUCCUGAAGAACUCCCCUGGUAGAAGCAUCUUUAAGCAGUAAAGAAAGUGCCUCGGCAACAAAUAGGAACAAAUACGCGGAUAAAGGAUCUCCCUGCCUGAGCCCCCGAGAAGGUGAAAACGUCUCCAACAAUUGUCCGUUGAAGCGCACCGCAAAUUUCACUGAUGUAACACAUGCCAUAAUCCAAUUUAUCCACGUCGGUGCAAAACCCAAAGCCCCCAUCAUACAUUGUAAGAAACGCCAGUCCACCCUAUCAAAGGCUUUCGCCAAGUCCAACUUAUAUGCGCAAAAUUCCCCUCUGAAAUCUUUCAGCGUACUUAACGAAUGCAUACAUUCAAAAGCUAUGAGAGCAUUCUCAGAAAUUAACCUUCCCAGAAUAAACGCAUUUUGAGUAGGCGAAAUCAUACCAUCAAGGAGCCGUCGCACUCUGUUAACAAGGCAUUUGGAAAUAAUCUUAUAGGUAACAUUGCACAAACUGAUCGGCCUGAACUCUUUAAUAGACUGAGGAUUCUUAACUUUUGGGAUGAGAACAAUAGUUGUGUUAUUAAUCCCCUCUGGCAUAAUUCCAUAAUUAAAAAACUGUUGGACAGCCUUAACAAUAUCCUAAUUGAUCUAACCCAAUUUCGUUGGAAAAACCUUGCAGGAAAACCAUCCAGACCCGGAGCUUUUAACGGUUCCAUUUGAAAAAGCGCAACACUAAUCUCUUGUUCAAAAAAUGGUUUGCAAAGCUCAUCAUUCAUAUCAUCAGAUACAAGGGGUUUGACCAACGACAUAAUAUGUGACGGGUCAACGGAGUCGUCAACAGAAUAAAGAUUUUUAAAGAACGAGUUUGUUAUACCUUUCAUUUCCUCCAGAUUUUCCGUGAGACCCCCAUCAUCCUUCCUUAGUGCCGCACUUUGCUCUCCAUGAAGCCGUUCUCUGAAAAUAAUUAGUAUUACGAUCUCCUCCUCUUAUCUUAUCCAAACGAGAUCUUUGCUUCCAUAGCAUCUCUUCCUUUAUAAGAAGCUCAUCCAUCUCUUGAAGAAUUUUCUUCCUUUCCAUCACUGCGGAAUGAUCAUUCCUACUAAACAACACAUUUAGUCUUUUACGAGCCCACUCCAGUUUCUUUGGUAAAUAACCAAUAUGGACCCGACUCCACCCAUGAAGAGAUUUCAUUAAUUUGUCUAACUUAUUAGCAAUAUCUUCAAGAUCAUUAAUAUUAGACUCUCUAUUCCAGCAAGCACUAAUCAGGUCGUCCAAAGCUCCACCUUCCCUCUCCCAAUAAGAUUCAUAUUUCAACUGAUUAACAAAUCUACCCACCCGGUGAGUACCCAAAAUCUCAACAAAAAUGGGACAAUGAUCAGACCUGGAGCUUAUUAUAUGGGAUACCUUACAUCGAGGGAACAUUGAAGACCAAAGCGGGCAUGCCACCGCACGAUCAAGACGCACCUUGACAUUCUUGUUUCCAUCUUGUUUGUUAUUAUACGUCCAAGGCACGCCAUGGUAACCCAAGUCAUAUAAAUUGCAAUCAGACAAAGCUUCACGAAAAUUAGCCAUUAGUCUAGUAGACCUCUUAUGACGAGAGUAGUGCUCUUCUUGCCACAUAGCUUCGUUAAAAUCCCCCACCAUAAACCAAGCUCCAACACCAAGAGGUUUAAUCCGUCUCAAGAGAUCCCAGAUAACAUACCUUUGACUCGCCUUAGGGUCACCGUAAAUGAAGGUGCACCUCCACUUUGUUCCCUCUCCCUUGUCGACGUACAAAUCAGUAAAGUGGUCACCAUAUUUGUUCAGCUCACAAGAGUACGCCUCAUCCCAAAACACAGCUAGUCCACCACCUUUACCAUGGCCAGAAACAGUAAAAACAUUAUUCAUACCCAACCUAUAGCGCAAGCUCUCAACAUACACUUUAUUCUUUCUUGUUUCAGAUAAAAAGAUAAUAUUGGGUCUGUGCGUCUUUGAGAGGCACACCAACUCUUGAACUGUACGAGGUUGACCCAAGCCUCAGACAGUUCAAGAGUUGGUGUGCCUCUCAAAGACAUGUUUGACCCAAAAAUCAUACGAAAAGAUAGUUAUUGGCAACCUUGGCCUAAAAACAUGGAUCUGUCAUGGUUUAUUAAGCUAGCAAUGCCUACUGACACAGUCAGUCUAUUAUUAAGCAUAAAGUAAAUACUUGACUAAUUAAAAAUUGGAUAAUGCCAUCAGUGUGUUUUGACGCAAACUAGAAAAUAGAGUAAUUUUAAAAUUAAAUAUACAUGUAUCAAGUAACUGGUGCAGCUAGACUCGCAUGAUCUAGAUAAACAUUUAUUUUGUAACCCUAUCCUGUAAUUAAUUAAAAAAAACAUUUGCUAAGGAUUACAGAAAUUCUUGUGCACAAACGGUUGAAUUCUUUUUAUGUUUCUAUCGAUAUUUUAUUUAAUGUUGUUUUAUCCAUCUCUUUGAUGUUUUUAUUUUUAUUUUUAAAUUCUUAUUUUGUUAUUUAUUUAUCGAAGUAUUUUUUAUAUUUUGUUAUUUCUUUAUAUGUAUCAUCAAGACAAAAAGCUACGACUCCGUAUGCGCUUGGUCACUUUCCUCUGUUGAGCCCAUAUUCCCUCACUCAUUCACUCAAAUGUGUUAGUUAAUCAGCCAUUUUUACAUGUGUUAAGUCUUACGGGAAAAAACAAACAAGUACAUGUGUUAAGUCUUAGGAAAAAAAACAAGUGUACAUGAUGGCCACUAGAGAGUAGAGACUGGACACUAGAGCAGCAUAUAUACUAGCCACACUCCGUAGGCUCCAUCCGCUCGCCGUCAGCCAAAUAGGCUCGCCCUCGCCUCCUCUUCUCUUCUCUCAUCUCUUCCUUGCCUCCUCACAAUGCUCGCCAAAUGCUCACCAUUCACCUGCAAUGCAUCCACUGUGUGUCACCCUAGUUAACGCAAUGUUUCAUAAAUAAAAGGAAAUUUCAUGAAUUUACAAAAUCAGCGGACCAAGGAUUGCCAUGACAGGAAAAAUUAACAAAAACUAUUUUUUUUCUUCUGAUUUUCAGUGUUUUUGCUGUUUUAUUUGAUCUUUUAUUUAUUUUUAGUUGGUUAUUUUUUGCUUUUCUCCUCUAGUGUUUAUUUUAUAUAUAAAAUAAUCAGUGAAUUCCGGUUUUUACCCUCUAUUUUGACAUUUUUCCACUAAUUACCCCAUCUAGUGGGAUUUAUCCAUUUUACCCCAUUUAGCAGAAGCGUUACCACAAUUUACCCCGUGGUGGCAAAUAUGUGGACCACUACAGAGUGACUAUAUGUUUCCUGAGCUGCUCUGGUGCGAUCAUAGCGAGCCUAACCUGUCGGAAGAAGCUAGCUAGGGCGAUGCAGUUCGGCGUGCAGAAAAAGCAUCAAGAAAAAACUAGCCGAUGUGGCAUCCAAGUAGGUCUUACAAUUGGGACCCGUCGGUCAGAACACUCAUAAAUUUUAAACAGGGUAAACUGUGGCAACACUUUUGUAAAUAGGGUAAAAUAGAUGAAAUUCCGCUAAAUAGGGUAGUUAGUGUAAAAAUGUCAAAACAGAGGGUAAAAACAAGAAUUCACUCUAAAAAAUCUAAGCUAUUCUGGGUCACUUUUUGAUUAACGAAACUGAUCCAUGUUUAUUAAACGAAAUUGAUGCAUAUGCCGUGAUACGCAUGCAUGCUGAUUAAACAAAACUGAUGCAUUUCAAUCUUCGUAUGGGUGCGCGGACCUUUUUCUUUCCAUUUGCCUCGCAGCUUAAUAAUUGAUUGAUGCAUCUCAAUCUUGGUAUCAUGGCGACCAAAACCAUGAAUUCCUUGCCCUUCACCCCCCUCACUAAAGGUGUUGCCUCCACAUAUGCGAGGGCCACUUUGCUAGUUGAAGAAAAUAGUGACGGAGAUUAAAAAAAACCAAUUCGAGAGCUUGUAUUUUUGAAAAUUCUUCAGUUCGUAUCAAUUGCUCUUGGCAACAAUUCCACUUUCCCUGCUCUCCUCUGUUAUGGUCGCAAAGAAAGGGUGCUGAUGCGAAGCUAGAGCAUAGAUGCCUGUACGUUUUAAGAAAAAGGGUUUCCCCCGCUUUAUAGAUAAAGCAUUACCGAACAACCGAAUCCUGCCGAUACAAACACACACACACACCACACCCAAGGCCAGAUACAAGGACGCUGAUAACAGCAACACUACCCCGACAAAAUCCUAGCCAACAUCAGAUGAACACAAUAAGUACUACUACGAAGAUGUCGGGGCCCUCAACCGUGGGCGGGCCACCGCGAAGAGGAGAAGUCGUGUAGGACGAACAAUGAGCUCCAAAGCGACGCCUUCAGCAAGGGAACGACACCAUUGUGUCGCCACCGCCCAAUCCAAGGAUUAGAGUUUCCCCCGGAGCACUCCGAUGACAAAUGAGAUGCCGCGACGGCGCCUUCAAGAAGAGGACGACACUAGAACGCCGCUGCCGUCGGCCUGGCAAAGCAGAACGGGUUUUCACGACCGGCAGGGGCACCCUGCCCCUUCCCGAAGUCCCAUGCCACCACCGGCAGGCCUCGCGCGCACCACCACACCAUGGCGCCACCCCGACCCGACGAGCGCGUCGCUGAGUCCAAAGAAGAGGGAGGGAGCUCACCCGAGUUGCCACGCGCAUAUCAGACAACCACCAGGCCGCAGCAGCGCCGCUGCAGACCACCCCACUCCGAGGUCUAGACCGACCUCAGCCACCGUCCCGCGCCGCCCGCCGCCAUCCAGGAGCCGGAUCUAGGAGGGUUGGGCCGGAUCCGCGCUAGCACGCCACCGCCCAGAUCGGGAAUCCCAGCGGCCGUCACGCCACAAACGAGCCUACCACUCGACGUCGUGUCCCCACCAGGCAACCCCGCCGCCGAACUCCGAGCACGCCGCCGCGCCGCCGGCCCUGCCAAAGACCGGCGCCCCCACUCGACCGGCUGUCUCACGCCAGCCGCGGAGCACGAGGGCGAGGAAGAAGAGGCCCCGCCGCCGCCCCCACCGGCCGGGCUUCGCCCGACAGCGUCGCUGGGCGGCGGCGAGGGAGGAGAGCAGAGGAGAGGGAGGACGGGUCACGGCGGCUAGGGUUCCCCCCGGUCGCUCGCGAGAGCGACAUGGGAGGGGAGGGGAGAGGGAUUAUAUCCCGUGAUGCCCUGUACGUUUUGAGGGGAAAUGGGUACUUGGAUUUGGAUAUAUGAAACAAUCAAGCGCCUUUUCAAUCAUGAACAGAGAAACUGAAACACUAAUCAUUACUGAAAAAAAAAACCUAACCAUUACAAACGUAAUCCAAAACGAAUAUAUGAAGAAAAAAUGGAGAAAUUAAUCAAUUAGGCUGCUGCACACGGAUUAAUUGCUUGUUCAUCAUCAUAAUACAAUUAGCAAGACACCUUUUGUGCCAUGACAAUGACAUACAUCAAAGCUCAUCUAACGUGCACCGGAAGGCGUCGUCUUCAUCAUCUGCAGCGCUAGUGCCUUCUUGGACUUCGCCGUCGAGUUUGCCGGGCAAGAACCCCUGCGCCACCACAGCGUCAUGGAGCUCGGGAAAAUCUUGAAGCAUGUCGUCGGUGAAGAACCCGCCUGGAUCCACGCUGCCGUCGUCCACAGCUCCGGGCGGCAAGAACGUCUCGCCUUCGUCGGACAUGAACCAGCGCCCAUACUCGUGAAACAUCCCGGCUUGUUGGACGAUCGGCGGUUCCUGGCGGCGUGGGGUUUGGGGACGUGGAGCAUCGGGGUGCUGGACGUCGGCGGCCUUCCUUUUCCUGGAACCGGGAGCAUUGAUUACCUCGUCGUAUGUGGUCUCGCUCCUGUGACGAGACACGCAGACCUUGCAGAGCACCAAGCCGUCUUGCUUGUCAUCGCUGUACUCGUUCAUGCACCAGCCGAUCCUGAUCCUCUCUUUCUCUCCCGGCAACUUCUUGACGUAGCUGAGGUUUCGUCUAUGGCCUACGAGUUUACCUUGGUUGUCUAGCACGGGGAUCCCGCCCUUCUCCGAGUGCCAGUAGUAACCCUCGCCGGCGUCGGCCACGCCACGCUGUCGCCUCCCGCCACCGCGGCCGCCUUUGGUCUGGUGACGACGGGCAGGGGUGAAGAAGUACCAGACGCCCCCUUUCCCGUCGCCCUUGUCCGUUCCUUGCGCGUGUUGAUACAUCUCGACGAGGUCGCCGGGGGCGGCGGAGUAGGCGUCGAACUCGUGGAUGAGGCGCCUGGCGAAGAAGGCGUCGGCGAUCCGUGGGCGGAGGAAGUUGGUGAUCAGCUCGUGCUCGGCUGGGUCGAAGGCGUAGCCGGCGGGAGGAUCCAUCUACAUUGCUUAUAUAGAUGGAUCGACAGCGAGCCCGCCCGGGAUUCAGUUUCCUUGACCGGUCAUACGUACGUGUCCUAAGCAAUCCGUACAUGAAAUGGAUUAGUACAGCAAUCCGUACAUAAAAUGGACUAGUGCAGCACGCCCCAUGAUGCUCCGUCGCUGCACCGACCUUGCUCCAUUGCAGCUCGCGUCGCUGCACCUUGCCGCUAGGUAAUACUCAGCAUGCUUCGGCGGACAUGGUGAUGCUAUGAGGCGUGCUACAUCGACCGCCGCGAUGGUGCAACGUCAUCCGGGCUGCUUUGAUGAAGCUGCGACAGCCGCGGCGUUGACGUUUCGACAUGCUUCAAACACCCAUGGUGUGCUUUGACGGCCACGACAAUGCUUCAACGGCAGACUUCGACGGUCGCGGUGAUGCUACGGGGCGUGCUUCGACGACCAUGGCAAUGGUGCGGCAACAUGCUUCUAACGUCGGUGUUGUACUUGGAUGGCAGCGAUGAUGUUGUGACGACAUGGUUGGACAGCCACGACGUCCUGCUUCGACAACCAUGAUGAUGUUGCGGCAACGUGUUCCAGGGCCACGAAAGUGUUGCAAUGAUGGACAUGGCUGCACCAACGAUAAUGCAACGACUGCAGCGGUGUGGCAAUGGUGACCCGGCUGCUUCGAUGAUGCUACGAUGGCAUGCGUCGAAGAAGGUGGUGGCGUCAAUGGUGCUACUCUAAACAUUAGCAACCUUCACUUUCCACAAUCAGCAUCGAGAAAGAUGGUGUUCUAGUAUUUGUACCAUCACAUGUGUAGUUACCUAGCAAAAUCACUGCAUAUGGAGUACCUUAAAAAAGAUCAUUUAAAUAGGCAGUCGUCGAACGCUACCACAUGUCACGAACUUUGGAUACUUUUGCGUGUGGAAGACAGAGCAUUCGCUACCUUCCUGUGUGGGAGAUAGUGCUCGCGCCACACGAUCAUGUGGGAUCGGACGGCUCCGGACGUGAUUGAUAAAGACAAGAAAUCAUCCGACUUAUUUAAAACAUUUUCCCUCGCCGAAUGCUCACCUUUUACUCGCAAUGGCCACUUGUCGGUUACCCUGGUUGACGCAUUUCUGUUUGUUUGUGACUUUGCAGUGCUUUUGCUGCUUUAUUUGUUCUUUUAUAUAUUUUUACUGGCCUUUCUUAUUUUAUCAACUUAUGAUUAUUUUAUUAUAUUAUAAAAAAUAUGUCUGUUUUAUUCUAGGUAAUCCUUUUUAUUUGCACUAUUGACAGAAAUAGUUCGUAUUAAAAAGGUCCUUACUCAUUUCAAAAUAUAUAAUACGUUUGAAAUUUGUUUAUAUAUUCUAAAUAAAAUGUUCUUGUACUUUUGAAUAUGAUUUACCUAUUUCAAAAAAUAUUCAUUUAGUUCGUAAGAAAAAUCUUUUAUUCAAAACGAAAUUACAUGUAUUCGCAAAGAGUGUUCACGUAUUUCUAAAAAUGUCCAUGUAAUUAUUAAAGUAUUCUCACAUUUAAAAAUAUAUUCACAUAAGUUUGGAAAAUAAUCAUUUAGGACAUAAAAUAGAAAAUACACUUGAAUUUUUUUAUCGCGUAUUUAAGAAAAAUACUCAUCAUAUAUUAAAUAAAUUUCAUUGUGUAAAAAAAUAUUCAUCAUUUAUUUAAAAUACAUACGUUGUGUUUUUAAAAGGUCAUGUGUACUGUUAUUUUCUAAUUGCAUAAGUAAAAUAAGUAAGAAGAAAAUCACAGAAAAUAAAGAAAGAGAAAAAUGUGGGAAAAGAACAACAAAUAAUAGGGAAAUGAAAAAAGAGGCAAAGAUAAUUAAAAGAAUUCAAGAAAAAAAUUGAUUAAAAAACCCACAAGAAACUAGUCGAAAACAAGAAAAAAAGAUAAUAUCAUGAACAAAAAUUAGGCAGAUACACGAAGAAGAGAGCCAUGUGUUCAACGAACCUAAAAGUACCAGUACAUCGCAUGUGCGUAUCCGGCCAUGNNNNNNNNNNNNNNNNNNNNNNNNNNNNNNNNNNNNNNNNNNNNNNNNNNNNNNNNNNNNNNNNNNNNNNNNNNNNNNNNNNNNNNNNNNNNNNNNNNNNNNNNNNNNNNNNNNNNNNNNNNNNNNNNNNNNNNNNNNNNNNNNNNNNNNNNNNNNNNNNNNNNNNNNNNNNNNNNNNNNNNNNNNNNNNNNNNNNNNNNCACCCCCAGGACGUCCCCCACGACACCUUUUUAGGCUCGGCUUUAUGCUCGGACCACCUUUUUGCCGAAAAACGGCCCAGCAACGCCCCCAGCCCCCCACAGGACAUCAAAAUAGCGCCGGCAAACCCAGGAAAAACGCAGCACGUUGGGGGGCUUUUGGGGGCGCCGGCAGAAGUUUCGGCGAAUCAUGUCUCACCACAUGUCUUUUUUCUUGGCCCACUUAGUCAUUUUCCUCACAAACUUUUGAUUGGGGUGGGGUGAGGAUGAGAAGAUGCCCUCCUCAUGCACCCAUAUUUCGUCCGGAUGAAGCAUUUGGACCCCCAAGACACCUACUUUUUUGGUUCGGUGGUGUUCUUGGUGCUCCAACGGCUGGAGAUGCUCUAAUACUUGGUACAAUCGAUAUAUAUAUAUUAUUUGCCGCCCCGAAGCACGUCUAGUAAAAGAGUUUCUCAAGAAGGUUGCGCGAAUGUGUGAUAGCCCACCCUGAGAUCUCCCAACCUUCUAUAUAUAUUAUAGAAAAGAGUAAAAAAAGACAUGUUUAACCCUAAAACCGUACGAAAAGAUAGUUAUUGGCCAUCCUUGGCCUAAAAACGUGGAUCUGCCGCUGGUUUUUAAGGUAGCAAUGCCUACUGAAGCUGUCCGUCUAUUAUUAAGCGUAAAUUAAAUACUUGAGUAAUUAAAAAUUGGAUAAUGCCAUCAGUGUGUUUUGACGCAAGCUAGAAGGUAGAGUAUUUUUAAAGUUAAAUAUACAUGUAUCAAGUAACCGGUGCAGCUAGACUCGCAUGAUCGAGAUAAACAUUUAUUUUGUAACCCUACCAAGUAAUUAAUAAACGAAUACAUUUGCUAAGGAUUACAGUAAUUCUAAUGCACAGACGGUUGAAGUUUUUAUUUUCUUUUUAAAUUGUAGUUUUGUUAUUUAUUUAUCGAGGUAUUCAUUUAUAUUUUGUUAUUUUUAUAUGCAUAAUCACGACAAAAAGCCACAACUCCGCGUGCACUAUGUCACCUCCCUCUGUUAAGCCCCUAUUCCCUCACUCAUUCAUUCAAACUAGAUGACACCCCGCACGUUGUUGCGGGAACUGUUGUAGGAAAAUGGGAUAUGUUAGACAAAUGAAAUAUAAAUAAUUUGGAUAUGCUUUCAGCCAUAUCGUUUCUUGGCUAAAUUAAAACCAUUUCAUGAGAUUGAACAAUGCAGAACUGGCUAGAAAAAAUACAUAACAUUUCCUUUAAAAAAUAUUAACAUUAGUGGUUUCAGUUCCCACUGGCAAAAUAUCGUGGCCCUGACAAACAUUUGUGCAUCGAAUUGCCCACAAAGAAUAAAAAAAUAUAGCACAAAUCAAAUUGGCAUUGGAGAUUUGCUUCAGAUGUGGUAAUGAUUGUUCUUAUGUGCCCGCAUCAUAACUCACUACUUAUCGUCAUGUUGAAGAAAACAAACAAUCACCUCCAUUAAUAGGAACUGAGUGCUGGCACUUGAAAAGUGGGAAAAAUAAUAGUGUGUAAGAGUUGAUGACAGCGAGAACAUAAAUUGCCAAUUCAGUUUGUCCCAUAAUUUCUGCACAUAAAAAGCCGAACCACUCCUACAUUUAGUGAAGGCAACAUUAUACAACAAUUAGCAUGAAAAAAAUCAUGAUGAAAUAAAAUGGUGAUGCAAUUUUGACUUCAUAAGGCAAGACCAUUCAAGGGAGAAAUCUUUUGAACAUAGCACGAUGAUGAUCUUUUGGUCAAUAACUGAACAUGACAAUUCAUAAGCAUAUUAUGCAUUCAAUAUUCUAUUCUAGAUAAUAUUUUAAGUCUGAAAUAUCCAUGGUUUGGGAAGUCAGGAUGACCUGUUCCAAAACAAAGGCAUGUACGUAAACCGAACAAAUAUGAAAAUGAAGAGAGAAUGGUGAAGUAUAUAUCUUACUGAUUCCGCAAAGGUGAACGUAAUUAGAUCAAAGGUGUUGAACUGAAGUAGUUAUAUAAGGGUCAAAGGAUAAAAAUCAAUAAGGAAAAUUAAAGGAGGGCAUGUUCUUAUGUAUAUAGAAUUGAAUGAAGAUUUGCUUCAGAGGUGGUAAUGAUUCUUCUUAGUUGCCCACGCCAUAGUACUAUUUU
Molecule: long non-coding RNA, 37799 nt
Filed under: Triticum aestivum (bread wheat)
Lineage: Eukaryota; Viridiplantae; Streptophyta; Magnoliopsida; Poales; Poaceae
Description: long non-coding RNA (TAES_LNC009450)
Source: RNAcentral